GGCGGCGUAGCUCAGUUGGUUAGAGCACACGGCUCAUAAUCGUGGGGUCGUCGGUUCGAGUCCGACCGCCGCUACUA
This 77-nucleotide transfer RNA is filed under the name Acidimicrobium ferrooxidans DSM 10331. RNAcentral's name for it is "tRNA-Met". It matches the Rfam family "tRNA". From Rfam's summary of the family: Transfer RNA (tRNA) molecules are approximately 80 nucleotides in length. The record is from RNAcentral. Lineage: Bacteria; Bacillati; Actinomycetota; Acidimicrobiia; Acidimicrobiales; Acidimicrobiaceae.